AGUCUCCAGUGUUCCAGAUAAACAAAGAAGAUUUCCCCGCUUCGCUGGGCAAACUACGGCAGCUGAUAGAAGACAAAGUUCAGAUCCUACGAUCCACCAUCACUGAGGACCAACAGGGUUCAGCGAGUGAGUCGGACACUGGAAAAGGAGAACUGUGGAGGUUUGCUGUCCUAAGUGAAGAGUUGACCUCUCACCUCCAGCAGCUGCAGAGACAGACAGAGCAGGAGCUCAGCAGCAUAGACACACAACUCUUUCGGAUUAAAAGCCGCCUGCAG
Molecule: long non-coding RNA, 275 nt
Organism: Scomber scombrus (Atlantic mackerel)
Lineage: Eukaryota; Metazoa; Chordata; Actinopteri; Scombriformes; Scombridae
Exons: 3
Source: RefSeq, a predicted model, not a curated record